Molecule: ribosomal RNA, 623 nt
Filed under: uncultured bacterium
Lineage: Bacteria
Description: bacterial SSU rRNA
Rfam family: Bacterial small subunit ribosomal RNA
Source: RNAcentral
UACCGCGUGUGUGAAGAAGGCCUUAGGGUUGUAAAGCACUUUCAAUUGGGAGGAAAACCUACCGGUCAAUACCCGGUAGCUUGACAUUACCUUUAGAAGAAGCACCGGCUAACUCCGUGCCAGCAGCCGCGGUAAUACGGAGGGUGCGAGCGUUAAUCGGAAUUACUGGGCGUAAAGCGUGCGUAGGCGGUUCGUUAAGUCAGAUGUGAAAGCCCUGGGCUCAACCUGGGAACUGCAUUUGAAACUGGCGGACUAGAGUUUAGUAGAGGGGAGUGGAAUUUCAGGUGUAGCGGUGAAAUGCGUAGAUAUCUGAAGGAACACCAGUGGCGAAGGCGACUCCCUGGACUAGAACUGACGCUGAGGUACGAAAGCGUGGGUAGCAAACAGGAUUAGAUACCCUGGUAGUCCACGCCGUAAACGAUGUCAACUAGCCGUUGGGCCUAUAUACAGGUUUAGUGGCGCAGCUAACGCAUUAAGUUGACCGCCUGGGGAGUACGGCCGCAAGGUUAAAACUCAAAUGAAUUGACGGGGGCCCGCACAAGCGGUGGAGCAUGUGGUUUAAUUCGAUGCAACGCGAAGAACCUUACCUACCCUUGACAUCCAGAGAAUCUGUUAGAGAUAGU